Molecule: long non-coding RNA, 7624 nt
Organism: Phyllostomus discolor (pale spear-nosed bat)
Lineage: Eukaryota; Metazoa; Chordata; Mammalia; Chiroptera; Phyllostomidae
Exons: 2
Source: RefSeq, a predicted model, not a curated record
GGUAGUCCUCUGCACACGCACACGUGCAUGUGCACACACAUAUAUAUAUGUGGCUCACAUGACACAUGGCAGUCAUAUGAAUGCACCACAUAUAUGACAGUGGUCUCAUAAGAUUAUAAUGGAGCUGAUGUUCCUGUAAGAAAUGGGAGGAUGUGUGGUUCAGUAGGAAUUUUUUCUGUGAUGAGAGCACUUUUUUCUGUGGGGCUGGACAGUGGGUUCCCUCUCACUCACGGCACCUUAAUUUUGAGUGCAUAGAUUACAUCCCAGUCAGCCGCUGACCUGUUUCAGCACAGAGGAGCCUGUCCCUCCACCAGUACGGAUUCAGAGGGCACUACAGCCCUUCUAGAUCCAGCUUUAUGGUCUUCCAAGUACAUGGCUAUAAAUUCUUGGUUGAGGAUCUAAGAUCCUGUACAAGGAUGUAGAACCACAGGAGCUACCUUAACAAGUAGUAGGUACCACUGCCACUUUAGUAAAAUCUUUCCCUGUCAGGUUGUAAUGAUGUAAAGAAUAGAUACGUUCAAUUUCUUUCAUUAGUUCAAUGCUAGGGAGAGCCCUUUGUGCCAAAUAGGGCUAAUAGAACCAAAAACAAUUUUCCAAAGUCAAAAUAUUGAAUCCUUAGUUCUAUACCUUCUCCGUAUUAAACCCCCCCCCCCCCCCCCUUUUUUGGGUGAAUUCCACAAAAGCUCCUUACUCUGACAUGCAAUAACCAAAAUCACAUGGCCAUGACUGCCCCCUAUGUUUCUCAAUUUCUUAGUUCUUCCGAUACUAACGCUACCUCGCACUGUGUCCUGGCAGUCACUGUCACGGUGAUGUGUGCCCUCCCCAGCCAGUUACUCCUCAGUACUUCCAGUCAGUCAGCCCGUAUCCCUGUUCAAGGAGCAACACUGACAGUUUCAAUUCUGACCCUUUUGGAAGGGAGGAGGGGGAGGGCUUGCCGAGUAGUAUUUAUAAAGUCUACAGUCAUGUCCGGUAAUGUCCCAGGCCUUCACAUGCACUCACCACUCACUCACUGAGUCACCCAGAACAACUUUCAGUCCUGUGAGCUCCAUAGUGCCCUAUAGAGGGAUAUCAUUUUUAUGUUGUAUUUUUGUACCUUUUCUGUUUAGAUCUGUUUAGAUACACAAACACCACUGUGUUACAAUUACCUGUAGCAGGGGUCCCCAACCUUUUUGGUACCAGGGACCAGUAGGGGGGCUGGUUUCAGGAUGAUUCAAGCACAUUACAUUCAAGCUUGUCUUCUGCUGUGUGGCCUGGGUCCUAACAGGCCCAGACCGGUACCAGUCUAUAGCCUGGAGGUUGGGGACCCCUGACCUACAGUAUUUAGUACAGUAACAUGCUAUAGAGGCUUGUAGCCUAGGAGCAAUAGGCUAUACUGUACAGUCCAGGUGUGUAGUAGGCUUUCCCAUCUAGAUUUGUGUAAGCGCACUCUAUGCUGUUCGUACAAAGACAAAAAUCACCUAAGGAUCAGAAUGUAUUUCUCAGAAUAUAUCCUUGUCAUUAAGCUACUUAUGACUGGUAUGCGUGUUUAUGUAUAUGAUCUUAAGGGUUUUUGCAUAAAAUAUAAACUCUACUUAUAUUUCCACUUCCAUCUUCUGCUACUACUUUGGUGACCUCAGCUCCAGCCAUGCCUUUUUUUUUUUUCUUUUUGCUUUCUCCACACUUCCCUUCUACAUCCAUACUCUGUGAUUGGUGUUUAGAGGUUCUGUGGAAGUUUGCUGGCUGAUCGGAGGGGGUACAUGCCUAUCCUCUACGUGGCCCACCUCCCCCUGCCUAUCUAUGCUUCCCUGCUCUUGAAGAUUCCUGGUUCCAGUUCCACUUCUACCAGGUCUUUCCUGACCACUCAAUCCUGCCUUGAUUUCUCUUUCUUUUCUUCUGACUCACAGAGUACUCAUCCUUUCUCGCACCUUCUCAUCAGCUCUCUUUUGAUUUUACUUAUAUUGAUUUAGAACUUGUAACGUGCUGGUGUUCUGUUUCCUCACUUAGACUGGAAGCUCUGUAAAGGCAGGGCUGGACUGGUGGCAUACUCUCUCUUCUCCAAGGCUUUCCCCCUCGCCCCCACUCAAGGCAUUGCUCUGCACAUGGUAGGAACUUGGUACCUUAUGUAUAGUUAAACAAAUAAGUGAAGAGAAUUGGAACCUGUGGUGGGCAUAUUUAGUUAAAUAUGCAAAGCAAGAAUGCCUACACUGUGUAUGCCAAAAGUGUAAAGUUCUCCUCUGUAAUUACCAAUUUAAAAAAACACUUUGUAUUUAUAGUCAUGUUUGGCACCAAAUCAGCACUGGUUUCUGCCUCCUUGGUACAAAUGAAACAAAACCUUGAAUGCAGUGUUUCUUGAUUGAUGUCGGAUGUCUUGAGGCAGUGCCAUCCCUCUUACUAGGAAGCAUGGCAGUGUUGAUCUGGGCUUGGUCUGUGAUUUGGUUUGCUUUUGCUCUCCUCCUCCCCCUACCUCACCACAUGCAAAAGAAGAAAAGGUCUGGCAUUCUCAUGCUGGUGCCAUUUUAAAAUAGAUUUUAAUGCAUAAUGUCUGUCUGCUCAUUCAGGUCAAGUUUGAGGUGUUGGUCCAGGCCUUCCUCAUCUGUGAGGGAGUCAAAAUCCGAUUGAAUAGGUGUUGUGGAAAAGUGAGACAUACAUGUGUUCCCUAGUUUAUCCACCAUUUGAUUACUUAUCUACCUACUUAACUAUCAAAUUAAAAAUGUGCCAGACAUUGAUCUAAGGGCUUUACAGCUAUUAAUUCAAAUAUCUUAAAUUUUUAACUACCCCAUGAUGUGGGUACUCUACUCUCAUUAUUCUCAUUUCACAGAUAAAGAAAUUGCAUACAGAGGUGGUCAAGGGGCUUGUUAACAAUUAUGCACCUAGUUUAAGGUAAUUAUUUUUUGAAAGACUUAACAAUUGUUACUUUUCAUAUUUCUUGACCUCCAGUAAUUAUUCAGGUGACUAAAUGUCUGUUAUUCCCAAUCACAUGUCUAGUUCUAUGGCUUUUAUUCUUAUAAAUCAUUCUGGCUCCUUUCUGUGGUCAUGGCUAUAGUUGUGUUCCUCUCUAAGAUGGGCAAUGGUUGUGUACGUGUGUGCACACUGUGCAGUGUGUGGUGCACAUGUCUGUACUUUAACACCUGCUGAAAAAAAUCUACACUGCUGUAUAGUUUGUAAGUGCUUUUUAAAAUGCUGUCUCCCUUAGUCCAACAACCCUGGUGAGAAGAUUUACUAUUAAUUUCCAUUUAUUAAAUGCAAUAAGUGGCUUAGAGAGGUUAAGAGAUUGGACUGUGGCCUUUACAUGAUUAGUACGUCGGAAUUUGAACCCAAGUCUUCUUAAUCCUUUGCUCGUCCCACAGGGUAUUGAGGAUGUAAUCUUUUUGAAAGAGGGGAGAUUAUCAUAUGCCAGGAAGAUUUUUUUGCAGGGUUUUUCUUGAUUUCUUUGGAGUCGGGCACUGCAGGGAAAUGUGUGCAUGAUGCUAAUAAUUCAAUACAGUUUCUAAUAAGAGAGUGUUCUCAGUUCUACCUACCUGGGCCUUUGCAAUUCAGUGAGAGGUUUCUGCGGAGAGAUUUGAGGCUAGAGAGCCCAUUUUUAUGUAAACACCCAAGUCUGGAAAUGAUUACCUCCUGUACUUCCAGAGCUAAAUAGUCUCCUCUAGGAGGACCCUACAGUAUGAGUCAGAGCUCCAGGUUCAAGUCCAGUUCCACCACUUAGCUGUGUUCCCUAACGUGCUCUUGUGUAAGUCGUCCACAUGAUCUAAACCUCAGUUCAGGGUGGCAGGCUUUAAAGGGGUAACUGUGUGCCAGGCACUGUGAUAGGUCCUCCAGAUAGUUAGUUAUUCACAUCAGAUAAACUUUCUGCUCUGGAAGCGCUGUCGGACCAGUGGAGGAGACUGCCAGGAAACACAGUUAUGUUUCCUUCUGUGAUAGAGAUAAGCCCUGGGGACUUAUGAGAUGGUGGGAGGCAGUAAGCCAGGCAGUAGAGCUACAUGUCUAUCAGAGAAUGUUCCCUAAUGUACUGAGUUAAUAUUAGCUUCCUUCUCUUUCACUCUCCUAAACCCGGUCCCCCUUCCCGUCCCUUUCAGUGUCCCUCCUUGACCCAGUACUCAGCUUAUAGGUGGCAGUAUAGUAGGGUAUGUGAUGAAAGUGAAUGGUGGCCCAAAAAGGAAGAAGAGACUCAGCCAUACUCCACUCUUCUGUGAAUACUGUGGUCAGGCACCUGAGCUCCCUUUGCUGCCUGUACCCCUGAGGACCACAUACUUCUCCUAACACAGGGCUAAUCUCAGAUUUAUUAGUAUCCUGUGUGUAUGUCUGUAUCUCUCACUGACCCAAGAACCCCUUACAAAUAGAGUCAGUUACAUCUUUGUGUUCUCGGCAUCAGCACUGUGCCUGACACAAACUUGGUGGCUGAUAAGGUCUGUUGAGUGUGUGGAUGGAUAGAUGGGUGGAUGGUUGGGGGUUGCUGGAAGGAGCAGAGACUAAAACGAGAAGAGAUGAGAUGCUCUUGGGCAGUGGCUACUAAAAUUUAACCCAGGCAGGGAGGGGCUUGUGCUGGAAGCAUUAUUAAAAAACUGCCAUCUGCUAAGUAAGAGUUUAACCCCUUAGUUUCACAAGAAAGGACUGAGUUUACCCAAGAAAUGGCUUGUUUUGACAUUUAGGCCUGAAACCUGCAGUUUGCGCUGUGGCGAAACUUCCCAAGUUCUGCCUGAUGAUUGGUAUGGAGAGAAAUGGGUUCUUGGUGGAUGGAAAAGGUCCCAGCUCAGCCUAAAAGUACUCUCCUUUUCUGUUUUCAUGAAUUCGACUCCACAGGUAGAAACUGGGAUCUCCAGCAGUUUUACCCCAUUUUAAAGAAAAGCAGUAAGUUAAUGGAGGCUUUAAUUGAUAGCUACAAUAUCUUGAGUACCUGCCAUAGGCUAGGGUCUGCAGUAAAAACUUUAAUUCGCCCAGUAACUUUCUGAAAUAGGUUUUAGUGUCCUUAUUUUACAGCUGUGCAAAUGGAAGCUCUAAAAGGUCAGAAUUGAACAGUUAGUAGAGUUGGAGCUGUGGUUUGAACCCAGGCCCGUUGGCUUCCAAAGCUCCUGCUCUUAAAUGGAUUUCACUGAUACCAGGCGACUGGACUUCCCUAAAGAUGUUUAUGUACAUUAUCACCAGAGUCAAACUGAGAAUCAUAUUGUAUUUCCUUCAGAAUCAUAAUGUACUUUAAUCCAGAUUCUGCCUCAGGUAAUGAAGGUGGGUGGCUCACAGGCUAUAUUGAUCAAUGCUUCUUACAAGCAAAAAAAGAAAAAGAAAGAAAACCAUUUGAUUAUAUUCUGUGUAGGCAGAAUGGAUCACACCAUAGCUUGGCUGAGUUUGACAUUUACUUAAUGUGGAUAUAUUUAGUGUAAACUGAAAUUAGGCAGAGGGCUGAAAUAGGCCCUCUGGGGGUGCCGUGGAGUAAGUAGAGGUAGUUAUGCUCAGCUCCGUUCUUUGCCUUUUGAGCUUGACUUUAAAUAUUUCUGAAUGAAACAUAGAUCUUUGGUUUUAACUGGAUGUAGCUCAAAGGUCAGCCCUUCAGAACAGAGCAUUUCAGUCUCAGGGCACCAAUUUUAACCUCCUGAGAUGAGACCACAUUUGAGGCAGCUGGGUCAGCACGGGAUGGUGUCAGAGGGGGAGAUUCAUCAGUGAUUAGUCAGAUCACAAUUAAGUUUUUUGUUAUUUAUUGAGUGUCCAUAGUACAUGGGGUUUAGAAAUACGGAAUGGUUAUGGGUUUUGCUGUUUGUUUUUGAGAAAUAUCCUGUCACUUUUUUUCACAUGAGCAAGAGAAUCCUCAAGGAGAGAUUUAUUUAUUCCCCUUUGAACCUAGGAGUUUUAUUUUGUUUUCUUUAGUAAAACAUGUAAAGUAAAACAAUUAUAUGUCAUCAUGUCUGUCCCCUCACUCCCUUCCUCUAAGUAGUUUAAUUUAAUUGUUGGACACGGAGGAAGAUAGUAUUCAUGAAAGUGCCUGAUAGGUGGUAGGUGGCUAGCUAGUGCCCAUGAAUCUUCAUUUCCCUGUGCAGCUUGCUUCCCCAAGAGGUACUGGUGGCCAGGUGCUAUUCAUCCAGGUAAAGAUGGAGAAAAUUCAGUUUCGUCAUUUCUUCAGGCAUGUCGCAAACCCAGUCCAAUCUCAGGUAUUCCAGAUACGAGCGAUGUGCCGGUUGUGCAAGGCUCAGAGGAGCAUCGCUCACUCAGAGGUACAGAGGCCUGCCUGCCCUGAGCCCUUUGUUCUCCUGGUUGAAAGCAGUUAAUUAGCAACUGUCUCCAUAGCAACUACCUCACAGUCCAAAAACAUUGUCUAGUUUUUCAGUUUAGCUUAUCACACUGUUUACCUGAAGGGCUUUUCACUGCUCUGAGUCUCAUUUGAGUUGGCGGCAUGCCUGUUGGGGAAGUGAAUUGUCAAGAUAGAAAAAAACACCAUGGUAGCAAGAAGCUUCUCCCUAACCGGACCAACCUGGGCUCUGGAUUCUGUGUAAACAAAAGUUGUGAGGGCCUAACAUUUUUACCUUCUUUUUUUUUGUUUGUUUGUUUGCCAGAAAAGUGCCAUUCUCUCCACCAAUCCCAGAAUUAUGAGGAUUUGUCCCCCUUUCCCUGAGAGGCUUUCUAAGCUCUUUAAUAUUCCCUGUUUAUAGUACAUUUCCAUUAUUAGUCAUCUCGAAACCCCGGGUGCUCUCAGCUGCUGCUGUACAUUCGAGGAAAUUUCACUUCCCUAAGGGUCUUGGCAUUUCUGAAGGCCCUUGGAUGAAGGAUUAUGAGUCUGCAUGUGAAUUAGUCAGAGCAGUUUUGUUUUCAGUUACAAUGAGCUGCUCUCCUCCUUACCUGUGGCUUGGAUGGUUUAAGUUGAUAGUGUGUGAAAAAAAGAUGACUUCGGGUGGCUCAUUGGUACAUAGGACGGGGAACUGUGGCUUUUCUUUAGCUGUGCAACAAAGACAAUAAUUUCCGAGGCUGUCUUUGAUUGAGUACCUAUUGUAUGGACCACUGUGCUGGGACUUGUAGGAGCUUUAGCUCACUUCUGCAAAGGGAAGAUCGGGGAUCUGUAUUUUAAAGACAGAAAAUCCAUGUUUUAAGGUGUUGCUGCCAGACCAGAAUUGUAGAAUGCCAACUCAGUCUGUUGGUUUAUAAGACACAGCUCUUCCCUGAAAUCGGGAAGCACGACGGACCCAGAGCCUUCUGUCAGGAUUUGGUGGUGAUAGGUUUUGCCCAUACCUGGUGAAGGGUUUAGUUAGGAUGUCUGUCACAGCGCUCCGGGAGACUUUUGCCCAAGGGGCUGGUUAGAAUCUCAUGGUGUACAUGAGUAAUCAGAUUCCUCAGUUAUAUCCAGGAAAAUCAUGUUUCUGAGGUUUUCUUGGGUCCAGUGAUAAAGUAGUCGAGUUUAAUUUUUAGACAAUGUACAGUACCAGAGCUUAUAUAGAUACCUAAGUCUGUGUGGUUCCCUUCGAAGCAGUAACCUGAAAAGACUGUGCUUCAUGAUUUUCCCACUCUGCAAACAUUUUUAAGGGACCUCUGUGGGGGAAAGUGCUCUCCAAGCUUGUGACAUGGCUUUGAAUUCAAUGCAACACACAACUCUUGAGCACUAAACUUCUGCUACUGUGGGCUGAAAAGUAUGGUUGUUCCCUAGUGGCGAUCACUGGACCUAGCAUGGAUU